UGGGGAAUUGUUCACAAUGGGCGCAAGCCUGAUGACGCAACGCCGCGUGGGGGAUGAAGGUCUUCGGAUCGUAAACCCCUGUCGAGUGGGACGAAUGACUUCCGGAUUAAUACCCCGGAGGAAUGACGGUACCGCUAAAGGAAGCCACGGCUAACUCUGUGCCAGCAGCCGCGGUAAUACAGAGGUGGCAAGCGUUGUUCGGAAUUACUGGGCGUAAAGGGCGCGUAGGCGGCCAUCUAAGUCAGACGUGAAAUCCCCCGGCUUAACCUGGGAACUGCGUCUGAUACUGGACGGCUGGAGUUUGGGAGAGGGAUGUAGAAUUCCAGGUGUAGCGGUGAAAUGCGUAGAUAUCUGGAGGAAUACCGGUGGCGAAGGCGGCAUCCUGGACCAAUACUGACGCUGAGGCGCGAAAGCUAGGGGAGCAAACGG
RNAcentral lists this ribosomal RNA (429 nucleotides) under uncultured bacterium. RNAcentral's name for it is "bacterial SSU rRNA". It matches the Rfam family "Bacterial small subunit ribosomal RNA", at positions 355 to 775 of the family's 1533-position model. The record is from RNAcentral.